RNAcentral lists this long non-coding RNA (212 nucleotides) under Carica papaya (papaya). Its description in RNAcentral is "long non-coding RNA (CPAP_LNC002060)". The record is from RNAcentral. Lineage: Eukaryota; Viridiplantae; Streptophyta; Magnoliopsida; Brassicales; Caricaceae.
GAGUCGCAUGGUACCAUCAUUCUUCUUCAAAAAUAGUACUAGAGCUCCCUACGGUGAUACACUUGGUCUGAUGAAACUAUUAUCCAAUAAUUCCUACAAUUAUUUCUUGAAUUCCUUUAAUUUAGCUUUCACCAUUAGAUACGGAGCCUUAGAGAUAAGACUCAUACCAGAAAUUAAGUCAAUGAAGAACUCGAUCUCCUAGUCUGCAGGUA